UGUUAAAAGUUUCAUCUAUUUCUAUUGUUAAAAACUAGCGUGGCUGACGCAAUAACCAAAUAGUUACACUUGACAUAUCAUGUGUACCUCAUGCUAACAUAUAAGACCAAUUUUUAACAGUAGAAAUGGAUGAAAUUUAUAACA
Molecule: non-coding RNA, 144 nt
Organism: Gossypium raimondii (Peruvian cotton)
Lineage: Eukaryota; Viridiplantae; Streptophyta; Magnoliopsida; Malvales; Malvaceae
Source: Rfam